CAGCCGCCACGGGAAUACGGAGGGGGCUAGCGUUGUUCGGAACUACUGGGCGUAAAGCGCACGUAGGCGGCUUGGUAAGUUAGAGGUGAAAGCCUGGAGCUCAACUCCAGAAUUGCCUUUAAGACUGCCGAGCUAGCAGGUGAGAGAGGUAAGUGGAAUUCCGAGUGUAGAGGUGAAAUUCGUAGAUAUUCGGAAGAACACCAGUGGCGAAGGCGGCUUACUGGCUCAUACUGGACGCUGAGGUGCGAAAGCGUGGGGAGCAAACAGGAUUAGAUACCCCUGUAGUCCCUGUCUCUUAUAC
Molecule: ribosomal RNA, 301 nt
Filed under: uncultured bacterium
Lineage: Bacteria
Description: partial 16S ribosomal RNA
Rfam family: Bacterial small subunit ribosomal RNA
Source: RNAcentral